GUUUGAUUCUGGCUCAGGAUGAACGCUGGCGGCAUGCCUAAUACAUGCAAGUCGAACGGAGUGAAGCCUUCGGGUUUCAUUCAGUGGCGAACGGGUGAGUAAUACGCAGGGAACCUGGCCAUGGCAGGGGGAUACACUCUGGAAACGGAGCAUAAGACCCCAUAGGCAGUAAGGCGGCAUCGCCUUACUGUUAAAGAAAGCUGAAAGGCUUUGGCGAUGGAUGGACCUGCGGUGCAUUAGCUUGUUGGUGAGGCAACGGCUUACCAAGGCGAUGAUGCAUAGCCGGCCUGAGAGGGCGGACGGCCACACUGGGACUGAGACACGGCCCAGACUCCUGCGGGAGGCAGCAGUAGGGAAUUUUCGUCAAUGGGCGCAAGCCUGAACGAGCAAUGCCGCGUGAGUGAGGAAGGUCUUCGGACUGUAAAGCUCUGUUGCCGGGGAAAAAGGGGAAAUGCAGGAAAUGGCAUUUCAUGGAUGGUACCCGGCCAGAAAGCCACGGCUAACUACGUGCCAGCAGCCGCGGUAAUACGUAGGUGGCGAGCGUUAUCCGGAAUGAUUGGGCGUAAAGGGUGCGCAGGCGGUCUGUUAAGUCUGAAGGCAAAGGGAUGAGCUCAACUCAUUUAUGAUUCAGAAACUGGCAGACUUGAGGACAGGAGAGGGCGGUGGAACUCCAUGUGUAGCGGUAAAAUGCGCAGAGAUAUGGAGGAACACCAGUGGCGAAGGCGGCCGCCUGGCCUGUGACUGACGCUGAGGCACGAAAGCGUGGGGAGCAAAUAGGAUUAGAUACCCUAGUAGUCCACGCCGUAAACGAUGAGGAGCAGGUGUUGGGAGUGAAAUCUCAGUGCCGAAGCCAACGCAGUGACUCCUCCGCCUGGGGAGUAUGCACGCAAGUGUGGAACUCAAAGGAAUUGACGGGGGCCCGCACAAGCGGUGGAGUAUGUGGUUUAAUUCGAAGCAACGCGAAGAACCUUACCAGGUUUUGACAUCGGAUGCGAAGGCGCAGAGAUGCGCUGGAGGCUAUCAUCCAGACAGGUGGUGCAUGGUUGUCGUCAGCUCGUGACGUGAGAUGUUCAGUUAAGUCUGGCAACGAGCGCAACCCCCGUGGUAUGUUACUAACGCAUUUGGGCGAGGACUCAUAUCAGACUGCCGGUGACAAACCGGAGGAAGGCGGGGAUGACGUCAAAUCAUCAUGCCCCUUAUGACCUGGGCUACACACGUACUACAAUGGCGUCUACAGAGGGAAGCGACCCUGAGAAGGGAAGCGAAACCGGAAAAGGGCGUCCCAGUUCGGAUUGAAGUCUGCAACCCGACUUCAUGAAGAUGGAAUCGCUAGUAAUCGCGGAUCAGCAUGCCGCGGUGAAUACGUUCCCGGGCCCUGUACACACCGCCCGUCAAACCAUGGAAGCCGGCAACGCCCGAAGCCGGUGGCAUAACCUUUUAGGAGUGAGCCGUCGAAGGCGGGGCCGAUGACUGGGGUUAAGUCGUAACAAGGUA
RNAcentral lists this ribosomal RNA (1494 nucleotides) under uncultured bacterium. RNAcentral's name for it is "16S ribosomal RNA". It matches the Rfam family "Bacterial small subunit ribosomal RNA". The record is from RNAcentral.